This 270-nucleotide ribosomal RNA is filed under the name uncultured archaeon. Its description in RNAcentral is "partial 16S ribosomal RNA". It matches the Rfam family "Archaeal small subunit ribosomal RNA", at positions 477 to 747 of the family's 1478-position model. The record is from RNAcentral.
CAGCACCUCAAGUGGUCAGGAUGAUUAUUGGGCCUAAAGCAUCCGUAGCCGGCGCUGUAAGUUUUCGGUUAAAUCUGUACGCUCAACGUACAGGCUGCCGGGAAUACUGCAGCGCUAGGGAGUGGGAGAGGUAGGCGGUACUCGGUAGGAAGGGGUAAAAUCCUUUGAUCUAUUGAUGACCACCUGUGGCGAAGGCGGUCUACCAGAACACGUCCGACGGUGAGGGAUGAAAGCUGGGGGAGCAAACCGGAUUAGAUACCCGAGUAGUCC